Tympanuchus pallidicinctus (lesser prairie-chicken) is the source of this 1567-nucleotide long non-coding RNA. RefSeq lists it as uncharacterized. The record is from RefSeq and is a predicted model, not a curated record. NCBI's taxonomy places the organism in Eukaryota, Metazoa, Chordata, Aves, Galliformes, Phasianidae. The transcript is spliced from 5 exons.
GCUACCAUGGGCAUAUGUCACCACUUCUGAGAGGCAGUUCUGCUCUGCUCAGGCCCAAAGGGCAUCAGAGGACACUCCGGGGCAGCCCGGGUCAUCUUCCCAGCACACACACUGCUCAAGGUCAGCUGCACGCUCACUGCCACCGCUGAUGGGAAUCCUUUUUUGAACCACCUGCCUCGGCAGCCCUGACACCAGCCACAAAGCACAGAAACGGCGGCUCUGCAAGAACUAACUUGACUGAGGAGAGCGAUGCUCCCAAGCAGGGGCUGAGUCUCUGCGGGCGAGACGUUUUGGAAGAGAACACCGAGCCCUUCAUCUCAUACGGCACCCAGUAACGAGAGUUCAACUAGAUGACCCUUAAAGGUCCUUUCCAACUCGAUUCUAUGAAACAAAAAGAUUUCUCCACAUUUUGUACAGAAUAUAGGUCUGUCAUUAAACUCCUUGAAAACUAUGGCCAGAAAGAGGCAAAGAAAGAAGUCUAUUAGAGUCCAUACCAUUCUCCAGUGCUGUGGGUUCCAUCUGACAUCGAGGUGAGGAGCUUCUUGCCAUCUGAUUGCUCACUAGAAACACCUCAGGUUGACCUAGCAGCCUCAAGAUACUUAGAAGUACGUUCCUCACAGAACAUUACUGCAGUCAUAAAACCUGUUCAUAUUUUUAAAAGCAACAAAGAAGGUUGGGGAAGCAGAGGGAUGAGGAGCCAGGCCUGAAAGGACUGUUAAAGAGUGAUGAGUUGAGCACAAGGAGCUCUAAGGGGAAAGAGAGCAUGUGAAAGCACUAGAAAAUGUUAUGUACUAGGUAGGAUGAGAGCAAAAUGGGACAUGAACUAAAGUUGUGAAGGAUGAGGUUAAAACAGGCUGAAAGCACUGUGGCCAUCACAGUCUGCAGGUACUGGAGCCUUCAGUGUUCUGCUGCUGAUAGAUACAGCACACGCUCCUCAGUAUUUAUCUGUUAUUUAAAGCUUUCUCUUUGUUGGCAGUUGCAGCUAGGUGCAGAUCUUUUGCUGACACGUAGUAUUGAAGUAUAUUACUGGUUAUUGAAAUUAAGCUACUGUUGAUAUGAAAGCUUUUGUACAAAAUCAGUGAGAUGAUCAGAAAUCUUGAUUUCAUUGUCUUCACAGAUAUAUGUAACCUGGGAAAGUCUAGCAAGCAUUACUUAUGUGUGUGUGUGUGUGUGUGUGUGAGAGAGAGAGAGAGAGCUGAUGGACUGACCGAGUAUGUAGCACAGGGCUAACAUGGGAAAAGGUAAUGACCACUUCAGAAAGAGGGAGCUGGAAGAACCACUCGUCAAGAUCCUGUCUCUCCUGUUCAAGAGCAACUUAAGCACUGACUACUACACCUCAGGGAACUCACUGAUGUGUGUGCUAAUUACCAACAUAGGGUAUAAGAUCAUUUGUGGCUUAAUCUGUUUAGCUGCACUUGCAUCAAACAUAUGCUUGUUGGCAGACAUUUCCAAUGUCCUUCCUCAUGUCCUUCAUGUUGCCUUCUUACCAUAAGCCAACUUUUGUGACAGCUGGCUUCAAACACUGAUACAAAAUAUCAGCUGAAUAAACUCCACUGGUUUGUCCUUA